UGGGGAAUAUUGCACAAUGGGCGAAAGCCUGAUGCAGCGACGCCGCGUGAGGGAUGACGGCCUUCGGGUUGUAAACCUCUUUCAGCAGGGACGAAGCGCAAGUGACGGUACCUGCAGAAGAAGCACCGGCUAACUACGUGCCAGCAGCCGCGGUAAUACGUAGGGUGCAAGCGUUGUCCGGAAUUACUGGGCGUAAAGAGUUCGUAGGCGGUUUGUCGCGUCGUUUGUGAAAACCAGCAGCUCAACUGCUGGCUUGCAGGCGAUACGGGCAGACUUGAGUACUGCAGGAGAGACUGGAAUUCCUGGUGUAGCGGUGAAAUGCGCAGAUAUCAGGAGGAACACCGGUGGCGAAGGCGGGUCUCUGGGCAGUAACUGACGCUGAGGAACGAAAGCGUAGGUAGCGAACAGG
This 409-nucleotide ribosomal RNA is filed under the name Bacillota bacterium. RNAcentral's name for it is "Firmicutes bacterium partial 16S ribosomal RNA". It matches the Rfam family "Bacterial small subunit ribosomal RNA", at positions 355 to 776 of the family's 1533-position model. Lineage: Bacteria; Bacillati; Bacillota. The record is from RNAcentral.